Long non-coding RNA from Gasterosteus aculeatus aculeatus (three-spined stickleback), 2515 nucleotides. The record is from Ensembl. NCBI's taxonomy places the organism in Eukaryota, Metazoa, Chordata, Actinopteri, Perciformes, Gasterosteidae.
UUGCUCUAAACCAUGAUGGAAUUACCGUAUGUUGCUGCACAUUGGAAUAAAUCACCUUUCUAUCCAAUUAAAAAAAAAACAUUACACAAUCGGGGGAGUAGAAAUCUCUUUAAAUGCAGUCGAGCCUGAUUGAUUUUUAUGUUGUCUUCGCAAUGUUCUGCAUUGUUCACAGCCUUUAAUAAAAUAAUGUUAGGAAAUAGCCGAGCAUGAACAUAAUUAGAACAUGCGGCUGGAUUUGAUGUAUAUACACUAAGGUUGUGUUAGGUUAGUACAAUCAGACUUAUCGGUCUCAUGUGUGGAACAAUGUUUCUCAUGCAGAGCUACAAAGUACCACCCAAACCUACACACUAAAAUCUCUCACUCACAAACCCUGUCAUUUCCUCUCUCCGCUGCCAACUAUAUUUACCACCCUCACAAACUCGCUUCACACCAAUCCGGCUGCUCCCCCCUAUAUUUUCGUGUCAUCUCAUGUCUCCCUUCAUCUCUCUCUCUCUGCUACCUUUCAAUGUACAACAAGUCUGCACCAUCUGGUCACUGAGGAGGGAGACAGGAAGGGAGAGCUCCAAUCAAUAGACACUCUGCCUUGUGGCAGAGCUAGAAAUCAAUGGUAGCGGGGAAUUAAGCUGUAGUCUUUGAAUAAAUUGAAGACGCUGGAGCAGGCAACGAAACCACUUGGUGCAAGAAGAGUAAACCUGUUCAGAUUAAAAUGUAAAGGAUGUUUGUUGGGCUUUGCGCUGAGAAUACCUCGAGUCACAAGUACUCUGCCUUAGAGGAGAUACUAAGGCCUUUGUAAUGCUGGUGUCCUGAAAUAAAACGAUAGCAGUGCAUUCACUCUGCAAAGAGGAACAAGCUGAAAGAAUGGAAUGUGCUUUGUAGGAGCAAGAGGGCAUAUUUGGGAUUUGUGCAGAGAAAAGGCUUGAUAGAGAAGACAGCGUUGUGACGGAGCUGCUUCUCACCUCAGCUUGCAAUUCAUAGUUAAAAAAAGAAGAAAGAAAUCUGUUUAUAAAAAGACAACUCCCUUAGGAUUCAUAUUAGUACGAGGGAGGUUCAGCUUGGCAUCUGUUCAAGAGCAGAACAAAAAAAAUGAAAACAUAUUGCAUGCAGUAAAUAUUGACAUGUUAAAUGUGAAGAACAAAGACACAGGUCAAUGAUCUAUUCAGAAAAGCAAAGAAGCGUGAAUGCAAGUUUAAAAGUAUGAAAUACUGUUCACUUAUUAUUUUACUGAUGCAGUAAUGACAGGAAAUGGAGCAUUAAUGAUUUAGGUUGGUAUUUUCUUUUGCUAAUUAAAAGAUAACUGUAACCUACUGAAAGGCGUGAUUAUGAGGACUUUACCCAUCCUCUAAAAGUCUACACCAUAGUCAAUAAUUCAUUCCAACCCUGGCAGUUUAUUCAAAUCAGUGAGCUUUGAAAAACAACAUAAACAAAAAAAAAGGGGGGAACUAGAAAGACAACAAGAGAGAAGGAGAUGGACCAGAAUUAGAAGGAGCACAACAGAGAGACAGACGACGAUGAGACAGAGAAAGAAAGAAAGUCAAAGAGAGGAGCAGACAGCACGUUGAGUGAGACGGAAAGAGUUAGAGAGAGUCUGUUGUUUUUGCUGGUGACAACUGCAAAAGCCAUUUCCUCGAAUGUGAUGCAAAUGAUUGGGACAUCCUUCCUGCGUGAUGAUCCUGGCGCCCCGGAGAGACCAAAGGUUGCCAUCUGGAGGAAAAGCGAUGGGUUUGGCUUUGAGACAGGGAGAAAGGGCUGGAGGACAUCUGUGACCUGUGGGCUGGUGGUCGCCAGCCAAGGUCUGCCUCAUGUGCUAUGAUGGAUGGCGAGGGGCGCGGUUGGGUGUCUGACUGAGUGGAGGUGUCUGAGAGGGGGGAGUGGAGCCAUGGUGCACAAGCAUGGGUUGGUGUCUUCUUUUCUCAUUUACAGAAUGACGAGCCAAUACAGGUCCAUCACUACGCGUGCAGCUCCGUGCCGUCAACAUCUGUGAGACCGAGGUCAGCGCGCCGACCAGCUGGGGUGUUUACGAGGUGCGACGUUUGAGACCAUGGAACGCUUUUCUGUAAAAAAAUCAUGUAGCAGAUGCCUGGAGUUAUCUAACAUCCAUUAUGAGCUCCUCUCCGCCCACAGUAUGAUACGAUUUGGAAAAAUGUGAGACAGUGGGUGUGAAGAACGGAAGAGGGGGGCGUGAGGGGGGGUCUGAGACAGGGCCAUGUGGAAGAGAAAAUAAACCCUUUUCUGAUUUUACACGCACAUCUAAACUCGACGUUCACAGAGGCAGAGGCCCUGUUUUUUUGUCCCGCAUAAUGAAACUCAAGCCAGUUGAGCCUGGCUGCUCUUUUUUGCCAAUUUUAAGGUAACUACAGUGAAAUAAACGACCUCUGACAUCUGCAUGAGUUUUCAUUUCGUUGGUAGCUCACGGCUCCAGAAAGCAACCCGAUAACCCUCCAACACCGACUUCUGAGGUCAGCGGGUGAACUAAACUAAACUGAAGUGUUUGAAGUGAGCGCAUUCCCAGGAUACU